This 74-nucleotide transfer RNA is filed under the name Pleurotus ostreatus PC15. Its description in RNAcentral is "tRNA-Met (CAT) (tRNA-Met-CAT-1 1 to 3)". It matches the Rfam family "tRNA". Rfam says of the family: Transfer RNA (tRNA) molecules are approximately 80 nucleotides in length. Their secondary structure includes four short double-helical elements and three loops (D, anti-codon, and T loops). The record is from RNAcentral. Lineage: Eukaryota; Fungi; Basidiomycota; Agaricomycetes; Agaricales; Pleurotaceae.
GCUUCUGUGGCUCAGUUGGCUAGAGCGUUGGUCUCAUAAUCCAAAGGUCGCAAGUUCGAGCCUUGCCAGGAGCA